Molecule: microRNA precursor, 81 nt
Filed under: Bombyx mori (domestic silkworm)
Lineage: Eukaryota; Metazoa; Arthropoda; Insecta; Lepidoptera; Bombycidae
Description: mir-2807 microRNA precursor family
Rfam family: mir-2807 microRNA precursor family
Source: Rfam by way of RNAcentral
UUAACUCAAAUUUGUAUACACUUGAAACGUUUGCCUACGUUUGCCGCUAGGGGCGCUGUGCCUACAUACAAAUUUGUGUUA